GGCUGGUCUGAAGGUAGUGAGUUAUUUCAAUUGAUUGUUCACAGUCAGUCACAGACCAAACUCCUUGGUCUACUCUUUCCCCCUUCUAACUGCUGCACUUGAUGAAUAGUCUUAA
Molecule: unclassified non-coding RNA, 115 nt
Organism: Ursus americanus (American black bear)
Lineage: Eukaryota; Metazoa; Chordata; Mammalia; Carnivora; Ursidae
Rfam family: Y RNA
About the family: Y RNAs are components of the Ro ribonucleoprotein particle (Ro RNP), in association with Ro60 and La proteins. The Y RNAs and Ro60 and La proteins are well conserved, but the function of the Ro RNP is not known.
Source: Ensembl